This 253-nucleotide ribosomal RNA is filed under the name uncultured bacterium. RNAcentral's name for it is "partial 16S ribosomal RNA". It matches the Rfam family "Bacterial small subunit ribosomal RNA", at positions 524 to 776 of the family's 1533-position model. The record is from RNAcentral.
UACGUAGGGUGCGAGCGUUGUCCGGAAUUACUGGGCGUAAAGAGCUCGUAGGUGGUUUGUCGCGUUGUCCGUGAAAUUCCCUGGCUUAACUGGGGAACUGCGUGUGAGACUGGCAGGCUCGAGGGCAGGAGAGGAACGCGGAAUUCCAGGUGUAGCGGUGAAAUGCGUAGAUAUCUGGAGGAACACCGGUGGCGAAGGCGGCGUUCUGGACUGUCUCUGACACUGAAGAACGAAAGCCAGGGGAGCAAACGGG